AUUCCAGCUCCAAUAGCGUAUAUUAAAGUUGUUGCAGUUAAAAAGCUCGUAGUCGGAUUUUGGCAUCACGCCGCACUGUCUGCCGAUUGGUAAGUACGGUUUGGCGGGUGCUUCCUUCCGGUGCUGCGUUCUGCUCUUAGUUGAGCGGUUCGUUGGUUCCGGUUCUUUUACUUUGAGAAAAUUAGAGUGUUCAAAGCAGGCCUAUGCUCUGAAUAGGUUAGCAUGGAAUAAUAGAAUAGGACUUUGGUUCUAUUUUGUUGGUUUCUAGGACCGAAGUAAUGAUAAAUAGGGACAGUUGGGGGCAUUCAUAUUCCAUUGUCAGAGGUGAAAUUCUUGGAUUAACGGAAGAUGAACUUCUGCGAAAGCAUCUGCCAAGGAUGUUUUCAUUG
This 389-nucleotide ribosomal RNA is filed under the name Picozoa sp. RNAcentral's name for it is "partial small subunit ribosomal RNA". It matches the Rfam family "Eukaryotic small subunit ribosomal RNA", at positions 582 to 975 of the family's 1831-position model. The record is from RNAcentral. Lineage: Eukaryota; Picozoa.